This 521-nucleotide ribosomal RNA is filed under the name Patescibacteria group bacterium. Its description in RNAcentral is "bacterial SSU rRNA". It matches the Rfam family "Bacterial small subunit ribosomal RNA", at positions 1 to 410 of the family's 1533-position model. The record is from RNAcentral.
UUUUUUGAGGAUUUGAUCCUGGUCCAGGAUGAACGCUGGCGGCGUGGAUAAGGCAUGCAAGUCGAGCGAACCGAAUCUUGAUGAGAUUCGCCGAGUAGCAAUACAAAGCGGAAGGAUUUAGGGCUAGGUUAGCGGCAGACGAGUUAGUAAUACCUUGGUACGUACCCCGAAGACGGGCAUAGUUCGCCGAAAGGCGGAGUAAUUCCCGAUAGCCUCCUCUUUCGCUUUUCGCUUCACGAAAGUUCGGAAGAAGGACAAGCCCGCAAGGGCCUGUCCGUCCGUAGCUCAAGUGGAACGCAGAGCGAAGGAGGAGUAAAGUCGUAAGACGCUUCAGGAGCGGCCUAGGUCCGAUCAGCUAGUUGGUAGGGUAAUGGCCUACCAAGGCUAUGACCGGUAGGGAGGGUGAGAGCCUGAUUCCCAACGAGGGCACUGAGACACGGGCCCUACUCCUACGGGAGGCAGCAGUCGAGAAUAUUCGACAAUGGGCGAAAGCCUGAUCGAGCGACGCCGCGUGCAGGAAG